CUGACAUGCCAUAAAAUUUCAUGUCAUGAAGAGAUUUCCUGUAUUGAGUGAACUCAAGCAUCUCUCUAUGGUGCUUGAUUUGUUGGUGCAUCAAAUAUUACUUAUGUCUUCCUAAAAGACUUUAUAAUUUAGUGGAGAGAUCCGCUAAGGUUAAUUUGCAAGGCAUGACUAUGGAUUAUGGGGCUACCUCAAACAGUACAGUGUAUUCCAACCUCCGGCAUUUGAUGGGUUCAAGGGGUAAUGAUGCCUUAGCAGAUGUGACUGAUACAGAGCAAACUUUGAAUUAGUUGAAGUCCAGGUAUGAUUAAAUACAUACCUGAUUAUUGAUUCAAAACAGGUAUGAUUAAAUACAUCUAAGGUAUCUAUCUAUUUUUAUUUUUUUGGCUUUUUGAUUAAUUAUAUUUUGGUUUUGAGAUACCUAAUUUUGUUUCAUUCAAGUAGAUUUUAAAUUGUGGGUGUCAUUAGCUGUCAAUAUUUAGUAUAAGAUCUUCGUAAGGAGUCACAUUAUUUUUCUGAAAGCUUUGGAUUCUGCUACUUUUGCUGAAGAAAAGGUACUAUAGUGAGAUAAAAGCAAGUUGUGCCAAGGAUGAGGAUAUUGGAACUGCAAUUUUAAUGGUUGUGAAGAAAUAAAUUGGAGUUGGGGCUCAAACUGCAUGAACAUUGAAGGCUAUUUGAGUUAACAGAAAAGUGUACGUUGUUGUUUUUGAAAGAGGUUGGUAUGGGAGAGGAUGCAAUACUAACAGUAAGACCCAAUAUAUCAGAGAGAAAGAUGGACAAAAUCAUCUGCAUCACUGCAAUAAGGAUGCGUCCCCAUAGAUUCAGAUUUCUUCGGCAGUGCCUUACACAGGUUCUUAGUGCCUUGGUUGGAUUUCACUAAGGAAUUUUUCUGCCUUGAUCUAUUGGCCUUCCGUCAGUUGAUGCAAGUUGAAAGCUUACCCAACCAAAAGUGAUAAUCUAUUUUAUUGGAUAUUUGUUUUUGUUGACUGAGGGAGAAACGGCUGUAAUUCAGUUACUGACUGUGGGAGAAGAACUUUUUCAUUGCUCAUGCUCAAAUUCUCCCUGCUGCAGGGGAGAAAAUUGCUGCUCCUAACUGAACUUGAUUAGCAUUUGUACACCUAAGGUUUGUUGCAUUAGAAAACAUCUUUAGUUGUAUUAGUGCUAACCCAAUUCAAGAUAGGAAAACUAAUAUUAGAAUUCAAGGUUGCCUUGCUGCUCAGCUAGCUUCACCUUCAAGUAAAGGUAAAUUAGUCAUGCUUUUUAUUUUUUUUUAUGUAGCAGUUCAUCUCAGUGUCCAUGUAUACCCAAAACAAACUAAUUUU
This is a long non-coding RNA of Papaver somniferum (opium poppy), 1319 nucleotides long. RefSeq lists it as uncharacterized. The transcript has 3 exons. Lineage: Eukaryota; Viridiplantae; Streptophyta; Magnoliopsida; Ranunculales; Papaveraceae. The record is from RefSeq and is a predicted model, not a curated record.